UCAGAGCAAAGGGGGGAGAAGACAAACCCUAACUUCAUGAAAUUCUCAAGAAUUGAAAGAGAUUAGGAGCCCAAACUAAUGCAUGAACUCGAAACCUCAAUCAUCUAAGCUUGUACAACAAGCGGAACGUGUCAAGGAGAGGUCAAGCAUAGGAGGAUAACGGGUCAAGAUAAGGCAAGAUGACAAAUACACUUAUUGGAGUACUCGAGGUAAGUGAAUUUCGAUUCACUUUUUAGUAGGU
Molecule: long non-coding RNA, 241 nt
Filed under: Helianthus annuus (common sunflower)
Lineage: Eukaryota; Viridiplantae; Streptophyta; Magnoliopsida; Asterales; Asteraceae
Description: sRNA HanXRQr2_Chr02g0068141
Source: RNAcentral